AAACCCGGUCUAAUACUCCAUAGUAUUAUUGAGAGGCAUCUCUUAAUAAUUAAAGCUUCGGUGGUAUAGGAUUGGCUCGCGUGACAUUAGCCAGAUGGUGAGGUAACGGCUCACCAUAGCAACGAUGUCUAGGGGUUUUGAGAGGAAGGCCCCCCACACUGGGACUGAGACACGGCCCAGACUCCUACGGGAGGCAGCAGUGAGGAAUAUUGGACAAUGGAUGGAAAUCUGAUCCAGUCAUGCCGCGUGCAGGAAGACUGCCUUAUGGGUUGUAAACUGCUUUUAUACGGGAGCAAUAAGGGUUACGUGUAACCUGAUGAGAGUACUGUAUGAAUAAGGAUCGGCU
RNAcentral lists this ribosomal RNA (346 nucleotides) under uncultured bacterium. RNAcentral describes it as "bacterial SSU rRNA". It matches the Rfam family "Bacterial small subunit ribosomal RNA", at positions 154 to 498 of the family's 1533-position model. The record is from RNAcentral.